This 91-nucleotide transfer RNA is filed under the name Sporisorium reilianum f. sp. reilianum. RNAcentral describes it as "transfer RNA-Ala(AGC)". It matches the Rfam family "tRNA". From Rfam's summary of the family: Transfer RNA (tRNA) molecules are approximately 80 nucleotides in length. Their secondary structure includes four short double-helical elements and three loops (D, anti-codon, and T loops). Further hydrogen bonds mediate the characteristic L-shaped molecular structure. tRNAs have two regions of fundamental functional importance: the anti-codon, which is responsible for specific mRNA codon recognition, and the 3' end, to which the tRNAs corresponding amino acid is attached (by aminoacyl-tRNA synthetases). tRNAs cope with the degeneracy of the genetic code in two manners: having more than one tRNA (with a specific anti-codon) for a particular amino acid; and 'wobble' base-pairing, i.e. permitting non-standard base-pairing at the 3rd anti-codon position. The record is from RNAcentral. Lineage: Eukaryota; Fungi; Basidiomycota; Ustilaginomycetes; Ustilaginales; Ustilaginaceae.
GGGGGUUUAGCUCAGUUGGUAGAGCGUUCGCUUAGCAUUUUCAGGAUGUCUAAUUUGCGAAAGGUCGCGUGUUCGACUCAUGCAGUCUCCA